CCAGCCAGGCUAACUCUGUGCCAGCAGCCGCGGUAAUACAGAGGGUGCAAGCGUUAAUCGGAUUUACUGGGCGUAAAGCGCGCGUAGGCGGCUAAUUAAGUCAAAUGUGAAAUCCCCGAGCUUAACUUGGGAAUUGCAUUCGAUACUGGUUAGCUAGAGUGUGGGAGAGGAUGGUAGAAUUCCAGGUGUAGCGGUGAAAUGCGUAGAGAUCUGGAGGAAUACCGAUGGCGAAGGCAGCCAUCUGGCCUAACACUGACGCUGAGGUGCGAAAGCAUGGGGAGCAAACAGGAUUAGAUACCCUGGUAGUCCAUGCCGUAAACGAUGUCUACUAGCCGUUGGGGCCUUUGAGGCUUUAAUGGCGCAGCUAACGCGAUAAGUAGACCGCCUGGGGAGUACGGUCGCAAGACUAAAACUCAAAUGAAUUGACGGGGGCCCGAACAAGCGGUGGAGCAUGUGGGUUU
RNAcentral lists this ribosomal RNA (461 nucleotides) under uncultured bacterium. RNAcentral describes it as "bacterial SSU rRNA". It matches the Rfam family "Bacterial small subunit ribosomal RNA", at positions 487 to 948 of the family's 1533-position model. The record is from RNAcentral.